GAUUAACGCUAGCGGCAGGCCUAAUACAUGCAAGUCGAACGGUAACAUGGGUAGCAAUAUCUGAUGACGAGUGGCGCACGGGUGCGUAACGCGUAUGUAAUCUACCUCUAACUGGGGGAUAGCCUUCCGAAAGGAAGAUUAAUACCGCAUAAUAUAAUGAAGAGGCAUCUUUUGUUAUCAAAACUCUGGUGGUUAGAGAUGAACAUGCGUGACAUUAGCUAGUUGGUGAAGUAAUAGCUCACCAAGGCUACGAUGUCUAGGGGGUCUGAGAGGAUGAUCCCCCACACUGGUACUGAGACACGGACCAGACUCCUACGGGAGGCAGCAGUAAGGAAUAUUGGACAAUGGGGGCAACCCUGAUCCAGCCAUGCCGCGUGAAGGAUUAAGGCCCUAUGGGUUGUAAACUUCUUUUAUAAGGGAAAAAACCUCUCUACGUGUAGAGAGUUGAUGGUACUUUAUGAAUAAGGGGUCGGCUAACUUCGUGCCAGCAGCCGCGGUAAU
RNAcentral lists this ribosomal RNA (501 nucleotides) under uncultured bacterium. RNAcentral describes it as "bacterial SSU rRNA". It matches the Rfam family "Bacterial small subunit ribosomal RNA", at positions 28 to 524 of the family's 1533-position model. The record is from RNAcentral.